This 449-nucleotide ribosomal RNA is filed under the name uncultured bacterium. RNAcentral describes it as "partial 16S ribosomal RNA". It matches the Rfam family "Bacterial small subunit ribosomal RNA", at positions 29 to 523 of the family's 1533-position model. The record is from RNAcentral.
AACGAACGCUGGCGGCAGGCUUAACACAUGCAAGUCGAACGAUGUAGCAAUACAUAGUGGCGCACGGGGGAGUAACGCGGGGGAAUGUACCUUAUAGUGGGGAAGAACGUUGGGAAACUAACGGUAAUACCGCAUACGCCCUCCGGGGGAAAGAUUUAUCGCUAUAAGAUCAGCCCGCGUGGGAUUAGAAAGUUGGUGGGGUAAUGGCCUACCAAGCCUACGAUCUCUAGCUGGUCUGAGAGGAUGAUCAGCCACACUGGAUCUGAGACACGGUCCAGACUCCUACGGGAGGCAGCAGUGGGGAAUAUUGGGCAAUGGAGGCAACUCUGACCCAGCCAUGCCGCGUGAAUGAUGAAGGCCUUAGGGUUGUAAAGUUCUUUCGCCGAUGAAGAUAAUGACGGUAGUCGGAGAAGAAGCCCCGGCUAACUUCGUGCCAGCAGCCGCAGUAA